Molecule: ribosomal RNA, 253 nt
Filed under: uncultured bacterium
Lineage: Bacteria
Description: partial 16S ribosomal RNA
Rfam family: Bacterial small subunit ribosomal RNA
Source: RNAcentral
UACGUAGGGUGCAAGCAUUGUCCGGAAUUAUUGGGCGUAAAGAGCUCGUAGGCGGUCUGUCACGUCGGCUGUGAAAUCCCGAGGCUCAACCUCGGGUCUGCAGUCGAUACGGGCAAACUAGAGUAUUGCAGGGGAGACUGGAAUUCCUGGUGUAGCGGUGAAAUGCGCAGAUAUCAGGAGGAACACCGGUGGCGAAGGCGGGUCUCUGGGCAAUAACUGACGCUGAGGAGCGAAAGCGUGGGGGGCGAACAGG